GCGGAUGGCUGGAUGACCGCGGGGGCUUUGCGCCGUCGAGGAAAGUCCGGGCUCCAUGAAGCGACGGUGCCGGGUAACGCCCGGCCGGGGCAACCCGAGGGAAAGCGCCACAGAGAACAAACCGCCAUGCACGCAUGGCAAGGGUGAAAAGGUGGGGUAAGAGCCCACCGCGGGACGGGCAACCGGACCGGCAUGGCAAGCCCCACCGGGAGCAAUGCCGAAUAGGGACUUCGCGCGGGUCCGGUCGCCGCAGGGCGAUACCGCCGCAGGGCCGCUUCAGCCCGAGGUCCGGGUUGGCAGCUUGACCCCCGCGCGCAAGCACGGGGGCAGAUGAAUGGUCAUCCAAGGGGGUGCAAGCCCCCCGGACAGAACCCGGCUUACAGGCCAUCCGCAUCU
This 396-nucleotide RNase P RNA is filed under the name Roseibaca sp. Y0-43. RNAcentral's name for it is "RNase P RNA component class A". It matches the Rfam family "Bacterial RNase P class A". Rfam says of the family: Ribonuclease P (RNase P) is a ubiquitous endoribonuclease, found in archaea, bacteria and eukarya as well as chloroplasts and mitochondria. Lineage: Bacteria; Pseudomonadati; Pseudomonadota; Alphaproteobacteria; Rhodobacterales; Paracoccaceae. The record is from RNAcentral.